UGAACUUGGUCCCCCAGACUGGAAAGC
RNAcentral lists this non-coding RNA (27 nucleotides) under Mus musculus (house mouse). Lineage: Eukaryota; Metazoa; Chordata; Mammalia; Rodentia; Muridae. The record is from RNAcentral.